AUGAAAUGGAUGGAUGUAUGGACAUCUUGUUAUGCAGAUGUCAUGUGUGAAACUCUUUUCAGUUGUAUUGUCUUGACCCGUUUCGGAUGGCACAACCAGUUUCUACUGAUACGUCUUCAACGUAUCUAUAAUUUUUUUAUUGUUCCAUGCUAUUAUAUUAUCUGUUUUGGAUGUUUAAUGGGCUUUAUUAUGCACUUUUAUAUUAUUUUUGGGACUAACCUAUUAACCGAAGGCCCAGUGCAAAUUGCUAUUUUUUUUUGCCUAUUUCAGUGUUUCGCAGAAAAGGAAUAUCAAAUGGAAUCCAAACGGAAUGAAACCUUCGUGAGGAUCGUUUUUGGAACAAACGCAAUCCAGGAGACUUGGAGUGGACGUCAAGGAAGCAACGAGAUGGCCACGAGGGAAAACCAACGCAUGCUCAAGAGGUAG
RNAcentral lists this ribosomal RNA (426 nucleotides) under Triticum aestivum (bread wheat). RNAcentral describes it as "partial small subunit ribosomal RNA". The record is from RNAcentral. Lineage: Eukaryota; Viridiplantae; Streptophyta; Magnoliopsida; Poales; Poaceae.